This 2721-nucleotide ribosomal RNA is filed under the name Clostridioides difficile F548. RNAcentral describes it as "partial 23S ribosomal RNA". The stretch from base 2210 to 2721 matches the Rfam family "Bacterial small subunit ribosomal RNA", at positions 1 to 540 of the family's 1533-position model. The record is from RNAcentral. Lineage: Bacteria; Bacillati; Bacillota; Clostridia; Peptostreptococcales; Peptostreptococcaceae.
GGAGGCGAUUUAGAGUAUGCAGAUGAGGUCACAAUAUCAAAAGCACUAGAAGGCAGAAGAGAAAUAUAAAAAUCGAGGUUAAUACCUCGAUUUUUGUAGUUUUUUGAGUUAAAUUCAAAUUAAUUUUGAUUUAGAUUUAUUGAAUAAAUUUCUUCUGUAUUGUAUAAUUUGUUGUAUAAAUCAUUUAAAAAUUUUGAUAGGGGUGCAACAUGAAACCAAUUAUGAACUUAGAAGAACAUAAUGCAAUGAAAGAAAAAAGAGUUAAAAAAAUGAAAUCAAAAGAUAAACCUAAAUAUGAUGAUUUUGAGGAUAUAAGUUUUUCUAAUAAGAAAAAAACUAAAAAAAAUGUACGAAAUAAAAAUGCUGAAUUUAGAAAUAAUUAUAAAAAUUAUCAGUAUGAUUAUGAAGAAGACUUUUAUGAACCAAUUUAAUAUUAAAUAAUUAGAAAAUAAAAAAUCCCUAAUAGAUAAUAUAUAUACUAUAGGGAUUUUAUUUAUUUUAUCAACCAGAAAUUAUAUUUAAAAUUAAAUUAGCUAUAUUUUGGGCUGAAUUUGACUUUCUUAUUGAUUUAAUAUUUCUUUUUAGCAUUUCUAAUCUGCUAGGGUCAUCUAUUAAAACUUUUAGUAAUAUUGACAAGUUAUAUUUUUUUGUAGUUCUAAGUGCUGCACCACAAUUAGAUAAGAAAUCAAGAUUCUCUUCUUCCUGACCUGGUAUAUAAUAAGGAACUAUCAUAGGUACAUCUUUUAAAAGAGCCUCAGUUGUAGUAAGUCCACCAGGUUUGCUUACUAAUACAUCUAUAGAAGCUAAAAUAUCAUUCAUCUUAUCAGUGUAUCCAAGAACACAUACAUUUUUAUCAUGAUAACGAGACAUAAGUUUUUUUUCGAUUUUUUCUUUUAGGCUUUCAUUCUUACCAGUAAUUACAAGUAUUUGAAAGUCUCUAUCAGUAUCCAGUAAUUCAUCAAGUGUCUCUUUUAUAUUUCCAGCCCCAAAGCUACCCCCCAUAAGUAAAACAGUUAAUUUAUCAGGAGAUAAAUUCAACUCAGAAAGAACAAUAUCUUUAUCUCUGUGAGAGAGAAAAGAUUUUUCAACAGGGAUUCCAAAUGUUCUAAUUUUACUCGGUUCAACUCCAUCAAACACCAAUAAUUCUUUUACAUAUUCAUGACCAACAAUAUAGUAAUCAAUUUCAUUUUGUAUCCAUGUAGAAUGAGUAGUAUAAUCGGUUAAUACAGAAAUAAGCGGAGGAACAUUAAUGGUAUUUGUAUAAUGUUUAUAAAAAUGCUCUGUGUAAGCAUUUGAUUCAUUAUUAUGUAAAUUAAAGUUUUUUUUCAAUGUACUUAGAGCAAUCAUUGGAAAAGGAUGCGUUCCUAUGAUCAAGUCUGGUUUUUCGCUUCUAAUAAGUUUUUUAAAUUUUUUAGCCAUGAAUGUUAUUAGUAGAUUAUCUUUAAAUUCAUUUUUUGACAAAAGAUUUGUUUCAGAUAAUCUAUAUACACUUCCAUAGGCUUUGGGAGUAUAUAUAGCAGAUUUUUCGUAUCCUCUUGAAAUUAUUUUAUCCAUUGUAUUAUUAACUAAUUUCAAACUAUCUAUUAUUUCACAUUCAAUUGGCUCUCCAUCAAGUGUUUUGGAAGUAAGUUCUUCUUUAAUAGCUAGAGCAGCCCUAUUAUGCCCACCACCAGUGGAAGCAGACAUUAUUAAUACUUUUUUGCUCAUAAUAAAAUCCUCCUAAAAUGUAGCAUAGUAUUUAUAUUAUAUUUUGAUAUAUAAAAACUGUCUUUGUGAAUAAGGUUAUUGAUAAAUUAUUUUUAAUAUUAAUCUAAUACAAGAUUGCAAAAAUUACAAGUGAAAGAAAUGUAAAUUAAUUUUAUCAAAUAUGUUAUAUUAAAAAUAUUCUUGUAAAUAAAAAAUUUAAAUAUAGAAUAAAAAGGAAAAUAGAGCAUAGAAUAUAUAUUAGUUUUAUGAAAUAAACAGGUUUACUUAGCAUUAAGUUUUAAAAAUUAAAGAUAAAGAAUACAUGAUAAAUAAAAAAAUUAAAAAAAGUAAAAAAUUAUAUUGACUAGAAUAGAUAAAGAUGAUAUAGUAUUACUUGUCCUUGAAAAAAGGAAAAAGAAAUAAACACGAACAUUGAAAAUUAAACAGUAGGUUAAUUUAUAUUAAGAAACAAACCAUAAAGCCAGAUAUUUUGAUAACAAUAGUAUCUGAGCCUGAUAAACUUUUAUUUGAGAGUUUGAUCCUGGCUCAGGAUGAACGCUGGCGGCGUGCCUAACACAUGCAAGUUGAGCGAUUUACUUCGGUAAAGAGCGGCGGACGGGUGAGUAACGCGUGGGUAACCUACCCUGUACACACGGAUAACAUACCGAAAGGUAUGCUAAUACGGGAUAAUAUAUUUGAGAGGCAUCUCUUAAAUAUCAAAGGUGAGCCAGUACAGGAUGGACCCGCGUCUGAUUAGCUAGUUGGUAAGGUAACGGCUUACCAAGGCGACGAUCAGUAGCCGACCUGAGAGGGUGAUCGGCCACAUUGGAACUGAGACACGGUCCAAACUCCUGCGGGAGGCAGCAGUGGGGAAUAUUGCACAAUGGGCGAAAGCCUGAUGCAGCAACGCCGCGUGAGUGAUGAAGGCCUUCGGGUCGUAAAACUCUGUCCUCAAGGAAGAUAAUGACGGUACUUGAGGAGGAAGCCCCGGCUAACUACGUGCCAGCAGCCGCGGUAAUACGUAGGGGGCUAGCG